Molecule: ribosomal RNA, 496 nt
Filed under: uncultured bacterium
Lineage: Bacteria
Description: partial 16S ribosomal RNA
Rfam family: Bacterial small subunit ribosomal RNA
Source: RNAcentral
GAUGAACGCUGGCGGCGUGCCUAAUACAUGCAAGUCGAGCGAACGGACGAGAAGCUUGCUUCUCUGAUGUUAGCGGCGGACGGGUGAGUAACACGUGGAUAACCUACCUAUAAGACUGGGAUAACUUCGGGAAACCGGAGCUAAUACCGGAUAAUAUUUUGAACCGCAUGGUUCAACAGUGAAAGACGGUCUUGCUGUCACUUAUAGAUGUAUCCGCGCUGCAUUAGCUAGUUGGUAAGGUAACGGCUUACCAAGGCAACGAUGCAUAGCCGACCUGAGAGGGGGAUCGGCCAAACUGGAACUGAGACACGGUCAAGACUCCUACGGGAGGCAGCAGUAGGAAAUCUUCCGCAAUGGGCGAAAGCCUGACGGAGCAACGCCGCGUGAGUGAUGAAGGUCUUCGGAUCGUAAAACUCUGUUAUUAGGGAAGAACAUAUGUGUAAGUAACUGUGCACAUCUGGACGGUACCUAAUCAGAAAGCCACGGCUAACUACGU